RNAcentral lists this ribosomal RNA (468 nucleotides) under uncultured bacterium. RNAcentral's name for it is "partial 16S ribosomal RNA". It matches the Rfam family "Bacterial small subunit ribosomal RNA", at positions 28 to 507 of the family's 1533-position model. The record is from RNAcentral.
GACGAACGCUGGCGGCGGGCUUAACACAUGCAAGUCGAACGGAAAGGCCCUGCUUUUUUGUGGUUCUCGAGUGGCGAACGGGUGAGUAACACGUGAGUAACCUGCCCUUGACUUUGGGAUAACUUCAGGAAACUGGGGCUAAUACCGGAUAGGAGCUCCUGCUGCAUGGUGGGGGUUGGAAAGUUUCGGCGGUUGGGGAUGGACUCGCGGCUUAUCAUCUUGUUGGUGGGGUAGUGUCUUACCACGGCUUUGACGGGUGGUCGGCCUGGGAGGGUGACCGGCCACAUUGGGACUGAGAUACGGCCCAGACUGGUAUGGGAGGCAGUAGUGGGGAAUAUUGCACAAUGGGCGGAAGCCUGAUGCCGCAACGCUGCGUGCGGGAAGACGGCCUUCGGGGUGUAAACGGCUUUCGCCUGUGACGAAGCGUGAGUGACGGUAAUGGGUAAAGAAGCACCGGCUAACUACGUG